AACGGCCAUACCAUGCUGAAUAUACCGGUUCUCGUUAGAUCACCGAAGUCAAGCAUCAUUGGGCGCGGUCAGUACUUGGGUGGGUGACCACCUGGGAACACC
Molecule: ribosomal RNA, 102 nt
Filed under: Caerostris extrusa
Lineage: Eukaryota; Metazoa; Arthropoda; Arachnida; Araneae; Araneidae
Source: RNAcentral